AGGAUGAACGCUGGCGGCGUGCCUAACACAUGCAAGUCGAACGUCCUGUCUCGCAAGAGGCAGGGAGUGGCGGACGGGUGAGUACCACGUGGGUUAUCUACCGUGAGGUGAGGAAUACCGGCGAGAAAUCGCCGACAAGACCGCAUAGCCUCGGUGCAAGCCGAGGAAAGCUUUCUCGAGAGAGGGAGCGCCACACGAGGAGCCUGCGCCCGAUUAGCUAGCUGGUGGAGUAACGGUUCACCAGGGCGACGAUCGGUAGCUGGUCUGAGAGGACGAUCAGCCACACUGGGAUUGAGAACGGCCCAGACUCCUACGGGGGGCAGCAGUGAGGAAUUUUCGUCAAUGGGGGCAACCCUGAACGAGCAACGCCGCGUGCAGGAGAAGGUUUUCGGAUCGUAAACUGCUUUUCGUCGGGGAAGAGAACGGACGGUACCCGAGGAAUCAGCCCCGGCUAACUACGUGCCAGCAGCCGC
RNAcentral lists this ribosomal RNA (473 nucleotides) under uncultured bacterium. Its description in RNAcentral is "SSU rRNA". It matches the Rfam family "Bacterial small subunit ribosomal RNA", at positions 26 to 518 of the family's 1533-position model. The record is from RNAcentral.